AACCUAGCACACCUGCGGUGUGUACCUGCGGAGGGAUCAUUACACAAUACAAUAUGAAGGCUGUCCGCAGCUGGAGUAUUUUAUUACCCUUGUCUUUUGCGCACUUGUUGUUUCCUGGGCGGGUUCGCUCGCCACCAGGACCACCAAAUAAACCUUUUUUAUGCAGUUGCAAUCAGCGUCAGUACAAACAAUGUAAAUCAUUUACAACUUUUAACAAUGGAUCUCAGAUCGGAAGAGCAC
RNAcentral lists this unclassified non-coding RNA (240 nucleotides) under soil metagenome. RNAcentral's name for it is "partial contains 5.8S ribosomal RNA, internal transcribed spacer 2, and large subunit ribosomal RNA". The record is from RNAcentral.